Long non-coding RNA from Nothobranchius furzeri (turquoise killifish), 526 nucleotides. RefSeq lists it as uncharacterized. The record is from RefSeq and is a predicted model, not a curated record. Lineage: Eukaryota; Metazoa; Chordata; Actinopteri; Cyprinodontiformes; Nothobranchiidae.
GGAGAGGAUGAAUCGCAAACGUAUAAAAUUGGUCGCAGGCGCUCCCUACGCUCUUUUCGUUCAUCGCCAGAUAGUUCUCGUCACUGAUGUUUUAUUGUGAAGAGAUGGGCACGGAUUUGUUUUUCGCUCCUGAAGGCUUCAGCCACCCUCCCUGAGGAAUGGACCUCUGUGUGAAUGUAAUGGGCCUUUUCCACCGACCAAACUGGCAUGGAAUGGGAAGGAUCGGGUCGCUAUAAGGUUUGGGCUCUUGCAGAAGCGUGCCACAAGGAAACCUUGCAGGUGAACUGGACUGAAGACUAGACACUAGAAGGAAAUGGCACACAUCAAGGCACCAGUCCACCUGUGAUCGUAAGCUGGACUCUGCUACAUGGGUUCCACAGACUGACCUACUUAAGGUGCAGUGGCAGCGGGCCGAGGGGUUGCCAUGGAGCUGAGCCAGAAACGUUGGUAGACUGCUUUUUGGGAGCAGGGGCCUGCUAAAACUUUUAAUGUUUAAUGUGACAUUUUCAAUAAAGACUAAAAUAAC